This 231-nucleotide unclassified non-coding RNA is filed under the name plant metagenome. Its description in RNAcentral is "partial contains small subunit ribosomal RNA, internal transcribed spacer 1, and 5.8S ribosomal RNA". The stretch from base 183 to 231 matches the Rfam family "5.8S ribosomal RNA", at positions 1 to 49 of the family's 154-position model. The record is from RNAcentral.
UUUCCGUAGGUGAACCUGCGGAAGGAUCAUUCAUAAUAAAGUGUUUUAUGGCACUUUUUAAAAAUCCAUAUCCACCUUGUGUGCAAUGUUAGAUCUCGUCAAUCUUGGCGAGAUUUUUAUACAUCAACUCAUUCUUUAACUAAUUUGUCUGAAAAAUAUUAUGAAUACUUAAUUCAAAAUACAACUUUCAACAACGGAUCUCUUGGCUCUCGCAUCGAUUAAGAACGCAGC